GAUGAACGCUGGCGGCGUGCCUAAUACAUGCAAGUCGAGCGAACAGACGAGGAGCUUGCUCCUGUGACGUUAGCGGCGGACGGGGGAGUAACACGUGGAGAACCUACCUAUAAGACUGGGAUAACUUCGGGAAACCGGAGCUAAUACCGGAUAAUAUAUUGGACCGCAUGGUUCAAUAGUGUAGGACGGUUUUGCUGUCACUUAUAGAUGGGUCCGCGCCGCAUUAGCUAGUUGGUAAGGUAACGGCUUACCAAGGCAACGAUGCGUAGCCGACCUGAGAGGGUGAUCGGCCACACUGGAACUGAGACACGGUCCAGACUCCUACGGGAGGCAGCAGUAGGGAAUCUUCCGCAAUGGGCGAAAGCCUGACGGAGCAACGCCGCGUGAGUGAUGAAGGUCUUCGGAUCGUAAAACUCUGUUAUUAGGGAAGAACAAAUGUGUAAGUAACUAUGCACGUCUUGACGGUACCUAAUCAGAAAGCCACGGCUAACUACGUG
RNAcentral lists this ribosomal RNA (497 nucleotides) under uncultured bacterium. RNAcentral describes it as "partial 16S ribosomal RNA". It matches the Rfam family "Bacterial small subunit ribosomal RNA", at positions 28 to 507 of the family's 1533-position model. The record is from RNAcentral.